CGCGGCCGCAGAGUUUGAUCAUGGCUCAGGACGAACGCUGGCGGCGUGCCUAACACAUGCAAGUCGAACGGAGAAUUCAGCAAUGGAUUCCUAGUGGCGAACAGGUGAGUAACGCGUAGACAACCUACCCUUUAGAUGGGGACAACACCGCGAAAGUGGUGCUAAUACCGAAUAUUGCUUGAGAAGCGCAUGCUUCUCAAACUAAAGAUGGCCUCUAUUAUAAGCUAUCACUAAAGAAUGGGUCUGCGUCUGAUUAGCUAGUUGGUGAGAUAAAAGCUCACCAAGGCAACGAUCAGUAGCCGGUCUGAGAGGAUGAACGGCCACACUGGGACUGAGACACGGCCCAGACUCCUACGGGAGGCAGCAGUGGGGAAUCUUCCGCAAUGGACGAAAGUCUGACGGAGCAACGCCGCGUGAGUGAUGAAGGUUUUCGGAUCGUAAAACUCUGUUGUUAAGGACGAAUGUAUAGAUUGUGAAUAAUGGUUUAUAAUGACGGUACUUAACGAGGAAGCCACGGCUAACUACGUGCCAGCAGCCCGCGGUAAUACGUAGGUGGCAAGCGUUG
This 565-nucleotide ribosomal RNA is filed under the name uncultured low G+C Gram-positive bacterium. RNAcentral's name for it is "bacterial SSU rRNA". It matches the Rfam family "Bacterial small subunit ribosomal RNA", at positions 1 to 543 of the family's 1533-position model. The record is from RNAcentral. Lineage: Bacteria; Bacillati; Bacillota.